AGAAGCAGACACAGGUGGCGCUUGGUAGGGUGAGCGGCUGGCUGGAGUGUUUUGGCCCUGGUCAGUCUUGCCCUACACACUCUGGUAAUAAGUGUUUUCGUAUUCCCGGCAGCUUCUCCCUGUACCAAGCACCGCCACGCAGCACCAGAGAGCCAUGAGUACGUAAGGUACAUGUGUCUGGCGUUCAAGGACAGCGCAGCAGCAGAGGAGGCAGUGAGGCAGAGGAACAAUUACAAGCUAGACAAGCAGCACACGUUUCUCUGUAAUCUCUUCACGGACUUUGAGAAAUACGACAACAUACAUGAGGAGUUUGUCGCACCUGUCCCUGAGCCUUAUAAGGUGUGUGUGUGUGUGUGUGUGUGUGUGUGUGUGUGUGUGUGUGUGUGUGUGUGUGUGUGUGUGUGUGUGUGUGAGGGGCAGGUUUGUGUGUUUGUGAGGGAGAUAGAUGGGAAAGGAAAGAGAGAGAGAGAGAGAGAGAGAGAGAGAGAGAUGAGAAUAGAAAGAGAAAGAGAUGAGAAUAGAAAGAGAAAGAGAUGAGAAUAGAAAGAGAAAGAGAUGAAAAGAGAAAGAGAGAGAGAGAGAGAGAGAGAGAGAGUGUGUGUGCCCCUCCUUCCCCUUUUCUGUGAUGCCCCUACCUUCCCUAAGCGGGUUUAAAUUGAAACAGUAAUAAUAAUAAUAAAUAAAUAAAUAAACAUAAUAGAUGAUGAAGUGAAAACACGAAAAUACAACACAUUUUUUACUAUAAACCUUUACAGCACGAUUUAAUAAUGAAGAAAAUGAAAGAAAAAAAAACUUGUGAUUUUAUUUUUAUUUCGGUACUUUCUCGGCAGCUGAACGUUUAUCUAAGAGUGUUUUGUACUUCUCGAAAUGAAUAAAAUAAAUGAAAAAUAUCUCGUUAUAUUAUCAGCGUCUCUUGUAUUUCUAUUUUAAUAAAUUUUUUCGGUAUUUAAAAA
Scylla paramamosain (green mud crab) is the source of this 953-nucleotide long non-coding RNA. RefSeq lists it as uncharacterized. The record is from RefSeq and is a predicted model, not a curated record. The transcript has 2 exons. NCBI's taxonomy places the organism in Eukaryota, Metazoa, Arthropoda, Malacostraca, Decapoda, Portunidae.